GUGGGAGGGGGCUUGCCCCCGAUGGCGGUGGGUCAGUCAGCCCAUGCAGAGCCUGACACUCAGCUAUCGGGGGCAAGUCCCCUCCCAC
Molecule: unclassified non-coding RNA, 88 nt
Filed under: Pseudomonas azotoformans
Lineage: Bacteria; Pseudomonadati; Pseudomonadota; Gammaproteobacteria; Pseudomonadales; Pseudomonadaceae
Source: RNAcentral